GAGUCUUAAUUGGGCGUUAAGUUGCAGGGUAUAGACCCGAAACCCGGUGAUCUAGCCAUGGGCAGGUUGAAGGUUGGGUAACACUAACUGGAGGACCGAACCGACUAAUGUUGAAAAAUUAGCGGAUGACCUGUGGCUGGGGGUGAAAGGCCAAUCAAACCGGGAGAUAGCUGGUUCUCCCCGAAAGCUAUUUAGGUAGCGCCUCGUGAAUUCAUCUCCGGGGGUAGAGCACUGUUUCGGCUAGGGGGCCAUCCCGGCUUACCAACCCGAUGCAAACUGCGAAUACCGGAGAAUGUUAUCACGGGAGACACACGGCGGGUGCUAACGUCCGUCGUGAAGAGGGAAACAACCCAGACCGCCAGCUAAGGUCCCAAAGUCAUGGUUAAGUGGGAAACGAUGUGGGAAGGCCCAGACAGCCAGGAUGUUGGCUUAGAAGCAGCCAUCAUUUAAAGAAAGCGUAAUAGCUCACUGGUCGAGUCGGCCUGCGCGGAAGAUGUAACGGGGCUAAACCAUGCACCGAAGCUGCGGCAGCGAACGUAUCACUUAAAACGCUUAACAUGCAGGCGCAGCCUGCAUGUUCAAGCCACAUAAACGUCGAGUGGGCCUGAGGGCUGGCAGACGACAGGCGUUUUAAGGAUACGUUCGUUGGGUAGGGGAGCGUUCUGUAAGCCGUUGAAGGUGG
Molecule: ribosomal RNA, 682 nt
Filed under: Salmonella enterica
Lineage: Bacteria; Pseudomonadati; Pseudomonadota; Gammaproteobacteria; Enterobacterales; Enterobacteriaceae
Description: partial 23S ribosomal RNA
Rfam family: Bacterial large subunit ribosomal RNA
Source: RNAcentral